UGAAAGAGGAAAUAGAUUUUAAAUUGCAAAACAACAAGAUCAAAUAGAUCACUUGAUCGAUAGAACAACCAAUGGGGCCCCAGGCCUCAAUUCAGAUCGGUUUGGCAAGCAAACAUUUUUCCCAUUUAUUCAUAUUCAAGGUAAACUGUUUUCAACAGUUGUUGGCAACGCAGAGGAUAAAGACAUAUCUAAGGGACUAUUUUUAGAUUUUUAUUUACAGUUACUUUUACCUGAACCUGGUCAAGAAAGGUAGAGAGGAGCAGCAAAUGCUAGAAAAAUAAACUCAAACGCGCCUGGAAUAAGUUUUUGUGUGUUGAGGUUUUGUUAGAAGUGCGCAAUUGACGCCCGCCGUUCGAGCGCAAAAAUUCCACACAAAAUUCAAGGUGGAAAACUGGUGAGC
Drosophila guanche is the source of this 400-nucleotide long non-coding RNA. RefSeq lists it as uncharacterized. NCBI's taxonomy places the organism in Eukaryota, Metazoa, Arthropoda, Insecta, Diptera, Drosophilidae. The transcript is spliced from 3 exons. The record is from RefSeq and is a predicted model, not a curated record.